RNAcentral lists this long non-coding RNA (1559 nucleotides) under Ananas comosus (pineapple). RNAcentral describes it as "long non-coding RNA (ACOM_LNC008790)". Lineage: Eukaryota; Viridiplantae; Streptophyta; Magnoliopsida; Poales; Bromeliaceae. The record is from RNAcentral.
AAAAGUACGACUACCUGCAGCUGGUGAUCCUCUAUCACAGCGACUCGUCGGGUAGGGCUCUAGCUCGCAACGCCCUUACCACGAUCAGCCUCAGAAAGUGCAGCAGCCGGAACCGGUGGCUCUGCAAAAUAGUGGUAACAACUGGGCGUGAGAACUACUGUAAAAAUAAGUAGUCCUUAGUGGGUACCGCCCAAAACAAUAUCGGUCCACCCACUAAGUCUGCAGAAGGGAGCAAGAAUAGUAGUAAAUGCAGAAAUAAAAUCUACCGCUAUCAAACACUAUACUAUCAUGCUCUACACUAAUCAACUGUAAGAAAUGUCCAAUCUGACCCAAUCCAAUCGGGACUGUAGACAUACCCGUCCCUGGGACUGUGAACACACCCGUCCCUGCCUAGUUGCGACUAUCCAGCUCUAUCCACACUAACUGGUCCGUGGAGAGUAAGUCCAACCGGCAUGAGUGACACCAACGCGAAAGCACAAAGCCUGACUCCGGAGUGGCACUCGUGGGCGCUACCCAACCGAGUAUGCAGCGUAUCUCUGUCGAGCUCAAUCAGGCUCCAACUAGCCAAAGUCAAGUGAACAGGGUCAAAACAGGUCUACAAACCAAACCCACGUGCCCUCGGCACAAUCUGUGACCAAAACAAGAAUCUGGGUCCACUGCUAACCCGAACGGCACCCAACAACCCGAAACAGCCUAAAUUCUGCUGAAGAAAAAUAAGCUCGGCACCCCAGCACGAACGUAAAUGCCUUCUAAACUACCCCAGGUAUCCAUCGCACUGAUACUGCAACGAUACAAUCGAAUCACGGCUCCUAGAGCUAAAUCUGGUAGUUUAAGCAUAUGACGGGUCAAAACGCAGGUUUUCUCCUAAGUCAAAUUUCAAGUCCAACAUGUAUAAUAUAAAUAUUCAUUUCAGCAUGCUUCUACAUUCAUAUUAUAUUCGAGAUGCUUAUCGAUGAAUUAAAGCAUGAUAUAUAAGAAUCGAACUAUACACGUCGACUAAACAUGCACUUAGGAGCGAAACCGAUGAUACACCCACCUCAAACGCUAAUCCACAACAGCGAGAAGUCAAUAGGAGAAGAAAUUCCGCGCUCGCCCGGCCUCCAACGGCGCUACUACGACGCACGCACUUGACUCGCUCGCUCGCCUUGCUCGCUCGCACGAACGAACCGAAUGCUACCCUGCUAAUUAAUUACCUCACAACUUGGCAAUAUAUAUAAAAGAAAAAAAACAAAAAGAGAGGAUGAGGAUAGAGAAUGGAGGACCACGUGGACUCCACCGACUAAGUAAAAACAAUAGCCCAUAAGCCCCUAUACAACUAUAUUUUCCACUUUAGUCCUCUACAAUAAAAAUCUUGAGUUUCAAAGUCCGUUGUUACGUCUACUUUGCGCAAAACAUCUCCAACUCAAAGCCAAGGGUACUACACUAACCCGAACCCAAAAACCCUAAUCUAAAAUAUUAUUCCUCUUUACAAUAUUUCAAAAUAUAUUCCUAAUUAAUUAUCCACAAUCAAAUUUUUUUUAAAGAGUAAUACAAAAUUAUUGUCUAAACUAGAAAAAUUU